GGUAUGCACUUACAUGGAAUCUAUCGACCUUGAUAGAAGAGGAGUGAUCCUAUGUGAUUUGUUAGACUGAGUUCUAAGACCUUGGCCAGGGCAGAAAUAUAAAGUGGAGAAAGAGUUUUUCACUAUCGAACUCAAGUCAAAUAAAUCUAGACAUAUGACAGACGACGGAGUUUGACGAGUUUUCCAUGACCUCCGAUCUGUAGGGAUCCACGAUAGAAGGACUGUAUCAUAUGAUAACUGCACCUAGAGGUUCAUCAUUCUAUUCUGCUGGGUGGCCACUACAAACUACUAGGUGUCACUGGUGGAUGGUGAGACUCACAGGGAUCAUCUCGAUGGUCGAUAAUCCCUGGUGAGUUGAGUUGAAAUUGUUUCAACCCAUUGAAAGGAGUUUUCAAUGAUAUUGUGAUAGAGAUCAUAAUAUAUCUCACUACCAGUCAGAAUAGAACCUAUGGGGUCACACACAUUAGAGGUAUUGACCGAUCCAAUGGUUGAAUGUGAUUAGGAAUCACAAAUAAUCAAUUAGAUUGAUAAAUGAAAACCCGCUAAGAGUUAGUGGCUAGAAGAAGGAAUAAUUGCAUUCGGAUUAUAAUUUAAUUUAAUUAAUUGGAUUUAAUUAAUUGGACUUGAUCAUGAGUCCUACUUGGAGUGGAAUUCAUGGAGUCCUAAUUGGAUUAGGUUCAAAUUAAAUUAGAGUCCUACUUGGAAUAGAAUUUCUAAUGUCCUAAUU
This 727-nucleotide long non-coding RNA is filed under the name Phoenix dactylifera (date palm). RNAcentral describes it as "long non-coding RNA (PDAC_LNC007941)". Lineage: Eukaryota; Viridiplantae; Streptophyta; Magnoliopsida; Arecales; Arecaceae. The record is from RNAcentral.